UACGUAGGUCCCGAGCGUUGUCCGGAUUUAUUGGGCGUAAAGCGUGCGUAGGCUGUUUCGUAAGUCGUGUGUGAAAGGCGCGGGCUCAACCCGCGGACGGCACAUGAUACUGCGAGACUAGAGUAAUGGAGGGGGAACCGGAAUUCUCGGUGUAGCAGUGAAAUGCAUAGAUAUCACGCAGAACUCCGAUUGCGAAGGCAGCAUACCGGCGCCAGACUGACGCUGAGGCACGAAAGCGUGGGGAUCGAACAGG
This 253-nucleotide ribosomal RNA is filed under the name uncultured bacterium. Its description in RNAcentral is "partial 16S ribosomal RNA". It matches the Rfam family "Bacterial small subunit ribosomal RNA", at positions 524 to 776 of the family's 1533-position model. The record is from RNAcentral.